RNAcentral lists this long non-coding RNA (250 nucleotides) under Numida meleagris (helmeted guineafowl). RNAcentral describes it as "lncRNA (ENSNMEG00000022251.1)". The record is from RNAcentral. Lineage: Eukaryota; Metazoa; Chordata; Aves; Galliformes; Numididae.
CUGAAACGUCCCACCACUGAACAUUUCACUGAUCCCCUUUUCUGUGCCAUCUGUCUGAUCUGGCCUCUUCCCAAGCAGUACUGCUUUCCCAGUAGUUUGUCUGAUUUCUGCUGGGAUGCUGUCAAAGAGAAGGAAACUUCUUCAUAAAAUGUGGGGGAAUGUGUUCUCUGCACGAAAAAUCUCAAGACGGAGUAAUUGGCUAUCUUGGCGGUUAACCAGAUUCCAGGGUGAUCUUAACGAAUGGAUGUGA